Molecule: ribosomal RNA, 535 nt
Filed under: uncultured Ascomycota
Lineage: Eukaryota; Fungi; Ascomycota
Description: eukaryotic LSU rRNA
Rfam family: 5.8S ribosomal RNA (bases 207-360)
Source: RNAcentral
CAUUAACAAAUAUCGUGACCCACGCCAGCUCUCCAUCGUUAAGGUGGCUACUGUAAAAAGUAGAAGGCAUGAGCCCACCCGUGAAUAUAUUACCUUUGUUGCUUUGGCGGGCCGCGGCUUCCGCUGCCGGCUUCUGCUGGCAUGUGCCCGCCAGAGGAUUACAACUCUUGAUUUUUAGUGACGUCCGAGUAUUAUAUAAUAGUUAAAACUUUCAACAACGGAUCUCUUGGUUCUGGCAUCGAUGAAGAACGCAGCGAAAUGCGAUAAGUAAUGUGAAUUGCAGAAUUCAGUGAAUCAUCGAAUCUUUGAACGCACAUUGCGCCCUUUGGUAUUCCGAAGGGCAUGCCUGUUCGAGCGUCAUUAUAACCAGUCAAGCUUGGCUUGGUAUUGGAGUCCGUCAUACGACGGCUUUUAAAAGCAGUGGCAGCGCCGCUGAGCUCUAAGCGUAGUAAAUCUCCUCGCUAUAGGGUUCUUGUGGUAGUUCGCUAUAACCCCCUACUUUUUAAGGUUGACCUCGGAUCAGGUAGGGAUACCC